RNAcentral lists this transfer RNA (68 nucleotides) under Marmota monax (woodchuck). RNAcentral's name for it is "tRNA.Asn". Lineage: Eukaryota; Metazoa; Chordata; Mammalia; Rodentia; Sciuridae. The record is from RNAcentral.
GGUUGUAGCUCAGUGGCAAAGUGUUUGCCUAUUAUACAAAGAAUCUCUGGGUUCAAUUCUCAGCACUG